This is a long non-coding RNA of Neofelis nebulosa (Clouded leopard), 504 nucleotides long. RefSeq lists it as uncharacterized. NCBI's taxonomy places the organism in Eukaryota, Metazoa, Chordata, Mammalia, Carnivora, Felidae. The record is from RefSeq and is a predicted model, not a curated record. The transcript has 4 exons.
AAAAGGGAUACGACUGAGUUCUCUAGUAACGGAUUGGAAAGAUCCACAACAAGGGGUGAAGGAACUUGGAAAACCAACAGUAAAAUAGGGAGGAAAGCCCUUGAUUCGUGGCAACAGCUAAAGUGCUCACAUGUGCAGAGUGGACAAAGAGCACCGAGCGUAAGCUUCAAGAAAAACCUGGUUCACUGUCUUUUGGUCUGGAGUUAGACUCCACGUACUCUGUUGUAUCAAAAAGAAGUGCUCAAGGAUAAAGCUGCUUCCUGUGCUUCCUCCAGCUUCCUGGUUUUGAAUAGGAUUUUAGAAGGAUGUGAGUGUGGGGCUGUGUCAGCCAUCUUGUAUUGACGAGGAAUGGAAGCCAAUGCCGAGAACAGCCAAGGAGAAGGACAGAAGGCAUCCAGGAAUUUGAUGAUGUCAUUAUGUCACUGAAGUUAAGUAAUUUUGGAACUUCCUACCUCUAGACUUCUUAUUUUACUGGUAUAAUAAAUAUCAUGAUGGUUUAAGUCA